UUGACUGUGAAUCGUUGCCUUCAGUGCUGGCUCCGGCAAGUGCACGUUGGUGACUUUCAUCCAACACUCUUGUGAACCUUUGGCCUCUUGCUGGCCUCGGCUGGCAGAGGAUUUUUACACACACUCGAAUGUAAUGAAAACGUUUGUCGUGCGCAAGCACUAAUGUA
Molecule: unclassified non-coding RNA, 167 nt
Filed under: uncultured Sebacina
Lineage: Eukaryota; Fungi; Basidiomycota; Agaricomycetes; Sebacinales; Sebacinaceae
Description: sequence contains ITS1
Source: RNAcentral